This 715-nucleotide ribosomal RNA is filed under the name uncultured beta proteobacterium. RNAcentral describes it as "bacterial SSU rRNA". It matches the Rfam family "Bacterial small subunit ribosomal RNA", at positions 64 to 774 of the family's 1533-position model. Lineage: Bacteria; Pseudomonadati; Pseudomonadota; Betaproteobacteria. The record is from RNAcentral.
GAACGGCAGCACGGACUUCGGUCUGGUGGCGAGUGGCGAACGGGUGAGUAAUAUACCGGAACGUAUCCAAUAAUGGGGGAUAACUAAUCGAAAGGUUGGCUAAUACCGCAUACGCCCUGAGGGGGAAAGCUAGGGAUCUUCGGACCUGGCGUUAAUGGAGCGGCCGAUAUCUGAUUAGCUAGUUGGUGGGGUAAAGGCCCACCAAGGCGACGAUCAGUAGCUGGUCUGAGAGGACGACCAGCCACACUGGAACUGAGACACGGUCCAGACUCCUACGGGAGGCAGCAGUGGGGAAUUUUGGACAAUGGGCGCAAGCCUGAUCCAGCCAUUCCGCGUGAGUGAAGAAGGCCUUCGGGUUGUAAAGCUCUUUCGCAAGGGAAGAAAACUUAGUCUCUAACAUAGGCUGAGGUUGACGGUACCUUGAUAAGAAGCACCGGCUAACUACGUGCCAGCAGCCGCGGUAAUACGUAGGGUGCGAGCGUUAAUCGGAAUUACUGGGCGUAAAGCGUGCGCAGGCGGUUUUGUAAGUCAGAUGUGAAAUCCCCGAGCUCAACUUGGGAACUGCGUUUGAAACUACAAGACUAGAAUAGGUCAGAGGGGGGUAGAAUUCCACGUGUAGCAGUGAAAUGCGUAGAGAUGUGGAGGAAUACCAAUGGCGAAGGCAGCCCCCUGGGAUCAUAUUGACGCUCAUGCACGAAAGCGUGGGGAGCAAACA